This 497-nucleotide ribosomal RNA is filed under the name uncultured bacterium. Its description in RNAcentral is "partial 16S ribosomal RNA". It matches the Rfam family "Bacterial small subunit ribosomal RNA", at positions 28 to 507 of the family's 1533-position model. The record is from RNAcentral.
GAUGAACGCUGGCGGCGUGCCUAAUACAUGCAAGUCGAGCGAACAGACGAGGAGCUUGCUCCUCUGACGUUAGCGGCGGACGGGUGAGUAACACGUGGAUAACCUACCUAUAAGACUGGGAUAACUUCGGGAAACCGGAGCUAAUACCGGAUAAUAUAUUGAACCGCAUGGUUCAAUAGUGAAAGACGGUUUUGCUGUCACUUCUAGAUGGAUCCGCGCCGCAUUAGCUAGUUGGUAAGGUAACGGCUUACCAAGGCAACCAUGCGUAGCCGACCUGAGAGGGUGAUCGGCCACACUGGAACUGAGACACGGUCCAGACGCCUACGGGAGGCAGCAGUAGGGAAUCGUCCGCAAUGGGCGAAAGCUUGACGGAGCAACGCCGCGUGAGUGAUGAAGGUCUUCGGAUCGUAAAACUCGGUUAUUAGGGAAGAACAAAUGUGUAAGUAACUAUGCACGUCGUGACGGUACCUAAUCAGAAAGCCACGGCUAACUACGUG